Molecule: ribosomal RNA, 253 nt
Filed under: uncultured bacterium
Lineage: Bacteria
Description: partial 16S ribosomal RNA
Rfam family: Bacterial small subunit ribosomal RNA
Source: RNAcentral
UACGAAGGGGGCUAGCGUUGUUCGGAUUUACUGGGCGUAAAGCGCACGUAGGCGGAUCGAUCAGUCAGGGGUGAAAUCCUGGAGCUCAACUCCAGAACUGCCUUUGAUACUGUCGAUCUCGAGUCCGGGAGAGGUGAGUGGAACUCCUAGUGUAGAGGUGGAAUUCGUAGAUAUUAGGAAGAACACCAGUGGCGAAGGCGGCUCACUGGUCCGGUACUGACGCUGAGGUGCGAAAGCGUGGGGAGUAAACAGG